Non-coding RNA from Trichonephila clavata, 75 nucleotides. Lineage: Eukaryota; Metazoa; Arthropoda; Arachnida; Araneae; Nephilidae. The record is from the annotation of a GenBank genome assembly.
AUCCCUGUAGCGCAAUGGAUAGUGCGUCGGACUUCUAAUCCAAAGGUUGUGUGGACUCAAAUCCCACCUGGGAUG